UGAACUGUUAGGUGAGACUCCUACGUGAACAUAUGCUGAUGCUCAGCAACAUCCAGAGAUGCCAACGAGUUAAACAAGAAUUGUCGAGACAAGGCUUUUCUCAAUCAGCUAUUCAAAUGGAAUUUACGUCACGUAGUGUUAAAACUGAACGACGAG
This 156-nucleotide small RNA is filed under the name uncultured Lactobacillus sp. RNAcentral describes it as "M-box riboswitch (ykoK leader)". It matches the Rfam family "M-box riboswitch aptamer (ykoK leader)". Rfam says of the family: M-box riboswitch, also know as ykoK leader is described as a metaloregulatory RNA that sense divalent metals and function as a genetic control element of genes related to divalent metal transport in bacteria. It was first reported upstream of the B.subtilis ykoK gene and genes with related functions in other bacteria. Phylogenetic analysis of the distribution of M-box RNAs across bacterial genomes revealed that M-box riboswitches are most often employed for the regulation of Mg2+ transporter genes Lineage: Bacteria; Bacillati; Bacillota; Bacilli; Lactobacillales; Lactobacillaceae. The record is from RNAcentral.